UGUGUCUCAGUGUCUCCCUCAGCCUGGAUUGUGAGAGGGCACAGGCCAGGCUGAGGGACCCCACUGGUGCACA
This 73-nucleotide microRNA precursor is filed under the name Myotis lucifugus (little brown bat). RNAcentral's name for it is "mir-9193 microRNA precursor family". Lineage: Eukaryota; Metazoa; Chordata; Mammalia; Chiroptera; Vespertilionidae. The record is from Rfam by way of RNAcentral.